GCCUCCGUAGCUCAGCGGUAGAGCGUUUGACUUGUAUUUAUCAUCAUUCUACUGGUUUUAAAAAGCCAUCAAACGGUCGGGGGUUCAAUCCCCCCCGGGGGCU
Molecule: transfer RNA, 103 nt
Filed under: Promethearchaeota archaeon
Lineage: Archaea; Promethearchaeati; Promethearchaeota
Also listed under: 1 other name
Description: Candidatus Lokiarchaeota archaeon tRNA-Thr
Rfam family: tRNA
About the family: Transfer RNA (tRNA) molecules are approximately 80 nucleotides in length.
Source: RNAcentral